Molecule: ribosomal RNA, 557 nt
Filed under: uncultured bacterium
Lineage: Bacteria
Description: bacterial SSU rRNA
Rfam family: Bacterial small subunit ribosomal RNA
Source: RNAcentral
ACGGGUGAGUAACGCGUGGGAAUCUACCUAUCUCUACGGAAUAACGCAUGGAAACGUGUGCUAAUACCGUAUACGUCCUUCGGGAGAAAGAUUUAUCGGAGAUGGAUGAGCCCGCGUUGGAUUAGCUAGUUGGUGGGGUAAAGGCCUACCAAGGCGACGAUCCAUAGCUGGUCUGAGAGGAUGAUCAGCCACACUGGGACUGAGACACGGCCCAGACUCCUACGGGAGGCAGCAGUGGGGAAUAUUGGACAAUGGGCGCAAGCCUGAUCCAGCCAUGCCGCGUGAGUGAUGAAGGCCCUAGGGUUGUAAAGCUCUUUCACCGGUGAAGAUAAUGACGGUAACCGGAGAAGAAGCCCCGGCUAACUUCGUGCCAGCAGCCGCGGUAAUACGAAGGGGGCUAGCGUUGUUCGGAUUUACUGGGCGUAAAGCGCACGUAGGCGGACUAUUAAGUCAGGGGUGAAAUCCCGGGGCUCAACCCCGGAACUGCCUUUGAUACUGGUAGUCUUGAGUUCGAGAGAGGUGAGUGGAAUUCCGAGUGUAGAGGUGAAAUUCGUAGA